UACGAGCGGCCCAAACGUUAUUCGGAUUUACUGGGCUUAAAGAGUCCGCAGGCGGCGCAGCAAGUGGGGUGUGAAAGCCCUCGGCUUAACCGAGGAAUUGCGCUCCAAACUACUGUGCUUGAGGAAUCUAGAGGUGAGCGGAACUGAUGGUGGAGCGGUGAAAUGCGUUGAUAUCAUCAGGAACACCGGAGGCGAAGGCGGCUCACUGGGGAUUUUCUGACGCUGAGGGACGAAAGCCAGGGGAGCGAACGGG
This 253-nucleotide ribosomal RNA is filed under the name uncultured bacterium. Its description in RNAcentral is "partial 16S ribosomal RNA". It matches the Rfam family "Bacterial small subunit ribosomal RNA", at positions 524 to 776 of the family's 1533-position model. The record is from RNAcentral.